GAUGAACGCUGGCGGCGUGCCUAAUACAUGCAAGUCGAGCGAACGGACGAGAAGCUUGCUUUUCUGGUGUUAGCGGCGGACGGGUGAGUAACACGUGGAUAACCUACCUAUAAGACUGGGAUAACUUCGGGAAACCGGAGCUAAUACCGGAUAAUAUUUUGAACCGCAUGGUUCAAAAGUGAAAGACGGUCUUGCUGUCACUUAUAGAUGGAUCCGCGCUGCAUUAGCUAGUUGGUAAGGUAACGGCUUACCAAGGCAACGAUGCAUAGCCGACCUGAGAGGGUGAUCGGCCACACUGGAACUGAGACACGGUCCAGACUCCUACGGGAGGCAGCAGUAGGGAAUCUUCCGCAAUGGGCGAAAGCCUGACGGAGCAACGCCGCGUGAGUGAUGAAGGUCUUCGGAUCGUAAAACUCUGUUAUUAGGGAAGAACAUAUGUGUAAGUAACUGUGCACAUCUUGACGGUACCUAACCAGAAAGCCACGGCUAACUACGUG
Molecule: ribosomal RNA, 497 nt
Filed under: uncultured bacterium
Lineage: Bacteria
Description: partial 16S ribosomal RNA
Rfam family: Bacterial small subunit ribosomal RNA
Source: RNAcentral